GACGAACGCUGGCGGCGUGCUUAACACAUGCAAGUCGAGCGGUAAGGCCCUUCGGGGUACACGAGCGGCGAACGGGUGAGUAACACGUGAGUAAUCUGCCCAUCACUUCGGGAUAACUCCGGGAAACCGGUGCUAAUACCGAAUAUGACCACUUCAGGCAUCUGAUGGUGGUGGAAAAUUCCGGCGGUGAUGGAUGAGCUCGCGGCCUAUCAGCUUGUUGGUGGGGUAGUGGCCUACCAAGGCUUCGACGGGUAGCCGGCCUGAGAGGGUGACCGGCCACACUGGGACUGAGACACGGCCCAGACUCCUACGGGAGGCAGCAGUGGGGAAUAUUGGACAAUGGGCGAAAGCCUGAUCCAGCAACGCCGCGUGAGGGAUGACGGCCUUCGGGUUGUAAACCUCUUUCAGCAGGGACGAAGCGCAAGUGACGGUACCUGCAGAAGAAGCACCGGCCAACUACGUG
Molecule: ribosomal RNA, 463 nt
Filed under: uncultured bacterium
Lineage: Bacteria
Description: partial 16S ribosomal RNA
Rfam family: Bacterial small subunit ribosomal RNA
Source: RNAcentral